CCUACGGGGGGCAGCAGUGAGGAAUAUUGGUCAAUGGGCUUACGCCUGAACCAGCCAAGUCGCGUGAGGGAAGACUGCCCUAUGGGUUGUAAACCUCUUUUGUCAGGGAGCAACGCCGGCUACGUGUAGCCUGUCUUAUAGUCCCUGUAGAAAAGGCAUCGGCUAACUCCUUGCCAGCAGCCGCGGUAAUACGGAGGAUGCGAGCGUUAUCCGGAUUUAUUGGGUUUAAGGGGUGCGUAGGCGGAAUGCCAAGUCAGCGGUAAAAUCUCGGGGCUCAACCUCGCUCCGCCGUUGAAACUGGCGGUCGUGAGUGGGCGAGAAGUAGGCGGAAUGCGUGGUGUAGCGGUGAAAUGCAUAGAUAUCACGCAGAACUCCGAUUGCGAAGGCAGCAUACCGGAGCGCAACUGACGCUGAAGCACGAAAGCGUGGGUAUCGAACAGGAUUAGAUACCCUGGUAGUC
Molecule: ribosomal RNA, 460 nt
Filed under: uncultured bacterium
Lineage: Bacteria
Description: partial 16S ribosomal RNA
Rfam family: Bacterial small subunit ribosomal RNA
Source: RNAcentral